Molecule: ribosomal RNA, 520 nt
Filed under: uncultured Glomus
Lineage: Eukaryota; Fungi; Glomeromycota; Glomeromycetes; Glomerales; Glomeraceae
Description: SSU rRNA
Rfam family: Eukaryotic small subunit ribosomal RNA
Source: RNAcentral
AGCAGCCGCGGUAAUUCCAGCUCCAAUAGCGUAUAUUAAAGUUGUUGCAGUUAAAAAGCUCGUAGUUGAAUUUCGGGAUUUAUCCGUUGGUCGGGCUUUUUGGUCUGUACUGGCGUGAUGGAUUCCUACCUUCUGAAUAACCGGCAUGCCAUUAAUUUGGUGCGCCGGGGAAGCAGGACUGUUACCUUGAAAAAAUUAGAGUGCUUAAAGCAGGCUUAUGCCUGAAUACAUUAGCAUGGAAUAAUGAAAUAGGACGCAUGGUUCUAUUUUGUUGGUUUCUAGGAUCACCGUAAUGAUUAAUAGGGAUAGUUGGGGGCAUUAGUAUUCAAUUGUCAGAGGUGAAAUUCUUGGAUUUAUUGAAGACUAACUUCUGCGAAAGCAUUUGCCAAGGAUGUUUUCAUUAAUCAAGAACGAAAGUUAGGGGAUCGGAGACGAUCAGAUACCGUCGUAGUCUUAACCAUAAACUAUGCCGACUAGGGAUCGGACGAUGUUAAUUUUUAAUGACUCGUUCGGCGCCUUA